AUAGCAAGCCAGUAGUUAGUAUUAGGCUCUUUUCGCCGAGGGAUUGGGUUAAGGGUAGGCUAAGAAAGUUGCAUGACAAUUAAUUAAUCAAGCUAAUAAUUCAAGAGGAGUAAAUAAGAGAGAGCGGAUUAGAUGAAAUUGUAAACCCCCAACAACUCCAUUCAUCCAUUGUUUUCUUCUUGUCAUNUGAAUCAAUCUCUUUUGCAUGUUCAUAUUUUAUUCUCUUACUCAAUUUAUUAAUUUUUAUUUUCAAGUCUUAUUAUUUUAAUUCCCGCGAACGAUAAGACCUUUCGAGUCUCUUUGGAAAACGAUACUUGGUCUUACCAUUUUUAUUACUUGAACGAUUUGGUACGCUUGCCAAUCCGUUAACAAGUUUUUG
RNAcentral lists this long non-coding RNA (379 nucleotides) under Vigna radiata. Its description in RNAcentral is "long non-coding RNA (VRAD_LNC005315)". Lineage: Eukaryota; Viridiplantae; Streptophyta; Magnoliopsida; Fabales; Fabaceae. The record is from RNAcentral.